UUCACUUUACUUUGGUUGAUAGCUGUAAGAGAGCUGUUAGGUCAUGGCUUGAAUGACCUGGUGAUUGACCAUCUGGUGAAGGGGAGUGGUUGACCUAGGGAGCACAGGCAAACUGCACCUGUGCUCCCCACAUGACCAGAAGGGGGUAGACUCAGACUGGAGCCACCUUGAGUUCAUAUAAGUGCCUGCCACUGAAGGGGGGGGCACCUCUUAAUGCUAGGCUGCUUUCUGGGAAGGAGUGUUGUAUAGACAAGGUGCUGCUUCAUGAGUUGGAUCUCCUAUACAGAACAUAGCAGUGCACUGGGGAGGACUCAUCAGCCUGAAGUGACCAUGCAUCUUGUGAUGGAGGCCAGCAGUGCUAUCCUCAGAGAUGUCAGCUUUGCUCAUUUCAAUCAGAUUUUUAUCUCCAUGAAGUCUUUCUGAAGACAGCAUUCUUUUUAGUCAGUUGGAUAUGUCUUCCUAGUUCUUCUCAAGUGAUUGUUUUUCAGUGAUUCUUGUAAACUGAAAGGAAUGGAUGUUCCCAGUGAUUAGGUCUUGAACAUUUCCCAUGAUUUUUUGUUUAGAGUAUGACUGAAUUUCACGUUUUUAGCUAGUGAACAAAAGUGAUGUUUUUUAAAAUCUUCUCUGUUGUGGUUGAUGAAGCUGGGAAAAAUAUCUGUUUCCUGAAGUUUAGAGCUUAGUUUUUCUGCCUUUUAUAGAGUAUUUGCUUAGGAUUUGUUUCUCCUUGGACUUUACAUAAGAAAACUGUAUGUUAAAGAAUACUUAAUGAAAGUCUUCUAGGAGACAGGCAUGUUUAUCAGUCAUGAUGGUUGUGUAAAAAAUUCUUGUUGAAAUCUUCCUUUAUUUGCACAUAGGCAAAUCAGUACACAUGACUGUUAAAUAGAUUUUUACUCUCAAAGACAAGAACAAUUUGACUUUCUAAUACUGUCAAAUUAGUCUUCAUUCAGAGUCGGGAGGGACUUCACAAUGAAGUGGAAAUAUGUAGAUGAUGUGUGCUAAGAGCUUGUAUGCAGAUCAAUAUAUACAAUUAUCAAUAAAACUGAGGAG
Molecule: non-coding RNA, 1047 nt
Organism: Coturnix japonica (Japanese quail)
Lineage: Eukaryota; Metazoa; Chordata; Aves; Galliformes; Phasianidae
Source: RefSeq, a predicted model, not a curated record